Molecule: unclassified non-coding RNA, 6241 nt
Filed under: Orussus abietinus
Lineage: Eukaryota; Metazoa; Arthropoda; Insecta; Hymenoptera; Orussidae
Description: a disintegrin and metalloproteinase with thrombospondin motifs 9, transcript variant X4
Source: RNAcentral
GAUUUGGAUGAUCGAAGGAAUUCCAUUUUUGCUGUUGCAGUCCUUCCGGGAGGAGCGACCAAGGGCGAGGUCAGGGAUCACCGUGGUCCCACGAUGGACGGGAAGAGAAAUCCUCCGACCUCGGUCAGAGGCGACAUGGAAUACAUCCGGCCUCUUAAGAUCAGUCAGAAUCAGUACGAGGAUCCUCCCUUGGGAACCAGCACCGCUAAAAGACACCACAGUGGCCACUUUCGACAUGCAAAUGCAGAAGUCUGGGAUCCACAUCCACAAUACGAGUUCACGGCUUUUGGAAAGAGGUUUCGACUGCGAUUGGCUCACGACUCGAGUUUCGUAUCACCUGAUAUCAAGUUGACACACAUCACCGAGAAUUCUACGAGAAGGGAACAUUUAGGACAUCAACUUGGCUGUUUCUACAAUGGAUACGUCGAGGGAGAUCCAUCCUCUGUCGUCACCGUCAGUCUUUGUCACGGAAUGACCGGCCACUUGAGAACUUCCAGUGGGAAUUAUUUCAUCAAGCCCGCCGAAAGAUGGAGAAACGGCGACAAGAGUUCCGUGGGCUCUCCUUUGAAACACGCCAUUUACAGAGUCCCCUCUUCAAGGACCCGUUCCAACCACGUGGAGGACCCAGAAGACGUGAAAAAUCACAAUUGCGGAGUAAUCGAUUACGAUACAAAUGAUCCGCCAUCGCCUUUGACCGAUAAUGGCUCCGGAAGUAAAAUCUACGUGGGAAAUCGCCGAGACCGGAGGUCCUUGAUGGAGAAAAAAUCCUUGGACGACUCCAGAGAGAACUACUUUGACGAGGACGAGUACGAGCAAUUCGUCAGUCAGGACGAGCAUCGUCGAUAUCUGGUGCUCAAUGAUCCUCACUACGAAAGGUACUACCCUGUAGAGCCUAGAAGAGCGUACUCUACCUCGCAGGACUCGGACUUCAGCACGGAUCCUUUUUACAGCUGGCGACCCCGAAGAGCACUUCCCAGGGAAUACUUCAUCGAGAUCAUGGUAGUGGCCGACGCCAAGAUGGUGGAGUACCACGGCAGCGAACUCUUCAGCUACAUCCUGGUCCUCAUGAGCACGGUGUCGAGGAUCUACAAGGACCCCUCGAUCGGAAACGCGAUCAGCAUCGCUGUCAUGAAAAUCGUGAAAACCGAAGAAAUCUUCGGCACGAGGGACUCGGAAAGUGACGGCAUCUCUGCCGCGGACAUGUUGAAGAAAUUUUGUUACUGGCAAAAGUUGAACAAUCCAGACGAGUCGUCCCCUGAGCAUCACGACGCCGCCCUGCUCCUCACUAGAGAGAACCUGUGCCACAAUCCUGAGCAAAAACGAUGCGACACUUUGGGACUGGCAGAACUGGGGAGGAUGUGUUACCCAAGAGCAUCCUGUGCGAUCGUUCAGGACAACGGACUAGCAGCAGCCUUUACGAUUGCCCACGAAAUCGGGCACGUACUGAACAUGCCGCAUGACGACGACCCUAGAUGCAAAGAUUACCGAAACCACUCCGGGGUACACAACGUCAUGUCCAGGAUGCUGGACGACAACACCUUCCCCUGGGAGUGGUCCAAAUGCUCGCGGCAUUACGUUACCGAGUUUUUAGAGGCAGGAAACGCAAACUGCCUGCUGGACGAGCCCAGCAAAGUGAUGGCCAGGUCCAACACUGCCCGACUUCCUGGUGAAGACUACUCGGAGAACAAACAAUGCGAAUUGGUCUUUGGUCCAGGGUCCAUGAUCUGUCCGUACAUGGUGAGUGAUGUGUGCAAAAGACUGUGGUGCACCGCACCGAUCUGGGACCAGGAGCAGCAGUGUCACACCCAACACAUGCCCUGGGCUGAUGGGACCGAGUGCGGACUCGAGAUGUGGUGCCACAGAGGGGAAUGCGUGUCACGGAGGAACCUCCAGCCCGUGGAUGGGCAAUGGGGUGCCUGGAGUCGCUACGGCGAGUGCUCCAGAUCUUGUGGAGGUGGAGUCAAACAGAAAGUCAGGGAAUGCAACGACCCUCCACCUAAGAAUGGCGGAAAUUACUGCGUUGGCGACCGCGUCCGGUACCGCAGCUGCGGAACUAGAGAGUGUCCGUCCAAAGCAUCGGACUUUAGGGAGGAGCAGUGCGCCAAAUUCGACAACAACAAUCUUAACAUCCAAAACCUGGCCAGGGAUGUCAAGUGGCAUGCAAAAUACACGAGAAUACUUCCGGAAGACCGCUGCAAACUCUACUGUCAGGUGGAAAGUAAUCAGUAUUAUAUGCUGCGAGACAAGGUGAUUGACGGAACGCCUUGCGGCCCGGAUUCCUUUCACAUAUGCGUUAAUGGUCGGUGUAAGCCGGCAGGGUGCGAUCACAUGUUGAACUCCACAGCCGAGCUGGAUACCUGCGGCAUCUGCAAAGGUGACAAUUCGACUUGCCAAAGAAUCACGGGCUCCUACAAUUCCAGCAAUUACGGGUACACCAGGGUGACCAAGAUCCCUGCCGGUAGCAGCUACAUCGACAUCAGGCAAUAUGGCUGGGGAGGCUCCCAGAAUGACAGCAACUACCUAGCACUUAGGAUCGGCGAAGACGGGAAGUACAUUUUGAACGGGAACUUCAUGGUGAUGCAGGGAAAGUACCCAGUUCAUCCCGGGAUCACGAUCGAAUACAGUGGACCAGAAUCCGUCGUUGAGCGCCUCAACAGCUCACGACCCAUCAACGUCGAUCUGAUCCUGGAGGUGUUAUCAGUGGGGAACGUCUAUCCACCGCAGAUCUCGUACGAAUACACGGUCCCGAAGAAGAUACUCAACAGCUUCACCUGGAUCCUCAGCGACUGGUCCAGCUGCAACCGGAUGUGCCAAGGCACCAAGCACCGGAAAGCGGAAUGCAGGAGCACGGAACAGAAGGAUGUGGUUUCCGAUGACUACUGCAGACCCGACGAGAAGCCCCGGGAGGAGACACUGAUGUGCAACUCCCACUGCACGCUGCAGUGGCAGGUCACGUCUUUGUCCGAAUGCUCCAGUCAUUGUGGACCAGGAACACGCAGGGUGACGUCCAGAUGCAUUCAGAUCAUUUCUAACUUGGGAACCCAUCCACCCAGGAUCAUUCCAAAGCAUGCUUGUUCACAUUUGGAGCGACCUCCUGAGCUGGAGUCCUGCACUGGGUCUUGCGAGGAUGCUCACUGGAGGUAUGGGGAAUGGGGCAGCUGCAGCGUCACUUGUGGUGGUGGUAUCCAAAUGAGAACGGCUACUUGCGUCGACUCUAACGAUCGACAAGUGCCGGAUGAAAAGUGCAUCUCGGGGGAGAAACUGCUGAAGAGAAUCUGUGGACAAGAGGCUUGCCCAAAGUGGUCCAUGGGAGACUGGUCACCGUGCUCGGUCACCUGUGGAGUGGGAAAACGGGAAAGGGCACACUGGUGCGAGGUGGAAAACAGAGUCAUCUCCAAGAGUUACUGCAAAGGAUCUCCUCAAGGUGUGAGCGAAACUUGCAAUGCAGGUCCUUGUCACUCCUGGCACGCUGGUGACUGGAGUACGUGUUCCGUGUCCUGUGGAGAGGGAACAUCCAGGAGGAAUGUGGUUUGCCAGGAUACCGCUGGUGUUCAAACAGAAGGAUGUGCUCCUUCCGAAAAGCCAAUGGACAGGAAGACUUGCAAUCUUCAGCCUUGCCCCACUGUGCCCAGUUUGCCAACGAUAACUUAUUCAUCGGACCCCACUCAAGAUGAAGUAGCUCAACAUGACAAUGAGAUCGACAGUAACGGCAUCACCUUCUACUUUGGUUAUAAAUGGCGAACCGGCAGUUUUGGCGACUGCUCGAAACCUUGCAACGGAGGCUACAUGUACCGUGUCGUGAAGUGCACUUCAAUAGAAACUGGGGCAGUUUCCUCGGAUGAAAAUUGCGAUCCAAAACGAAGACCCCGAUCAAUGGCGUCCUGCAAUCAUCAUUCCUGUCCUCUCUGGAACACCGGAGAAUGGAGUGAGUGCGAUGUCGAGUGUGGGGAUGGCUUUCAACAUCGUCAAGUUCGAUGUCAAAGUCUCCGUGGGGAAGUUCUGCCCGAUAAAGAAUGUUCUUCCGAGCAGAAACCACGACAUGUUGAAAGAUGUCGAAAAUCUGCAUGCAGGAAAGAUAUUACAAAUGUCAAAGAAAAGACUCCGGAUGUCAAUGGUCAUCGCAGAUGGCGAGUGUCCAACUGGACUCCGUGCUCGAAAUCUUGCGGAAGCGGCUUUAAGACGCGCAAGGUAGAAUGCACCUUGAAGAGCGGAUCCCGAGGAGCCGAGGUGCUGGUCUCGGACGAGCAGUGCUCGAGACUCGGACUUUCCAGGCCGAAAUCGCAGAGACCUUGCCAGCGAGUACCCUGUGACUAUACAUGGCAAGAAGGCGCCUGGUCCGAGUGCACGGCAGAAUGUGGAGACGGGGUGCAGAGGCGAGCUGUCACUUGUCAUCGUGUCAAUCGUUUUGGGUGGAUGGACCCAACUCCUGUUGAAGGCUGUCAAGACGUUGACAAGCCAAUUUCUCAACAGCCUUGCAAGCUUCGAGAGUGCAGCGAUCGUUAUUAUUGGACAGCCGGACCCUGGAAAAAGUGCAGUCAUCCAUGUGGCAGAAAAGGCAGACAAGUCCGCAGACUAUUCUGUCACGACAGAAACGGAAAGAAGGUUCCACGUUUCAAUUGUCCGGCAGCGUUCAAGCCGCAAAGGAAACGGAAGUGCAACCAACGUCGAUGUGGACCAUUGACUUGUCAAGAGGCGAAAAGACGGUUUAAAUCUAGCAAAGAUGGGGAGUACAUGUUGCUCGUAGGUGGAAGGAACAUGUCAAUUUACUGCCACGAGAUGUCAAGCGACGAGCCUCGGGAAUAUCUGACUUUGCCUGCAGGUGAUCGGGAGAACUUUGCGGAAAUCUACGACAAGAGACUACUAAAUCCACAUAGUUGUCCUUUCGAUGGACAGAGGAACGAUAGUUGCAUGUGUGUUGCCGAUCCUGGGACCGUCUCUGGGAGAACAAUGUUCAAAAGAGUUCGCUUAGACCCCACUAGACUUCGCAUUGUUGCGAACGAUUACACGUUCUCAUGGACGAGCGGAGCGAAACGCGUCGAAUUUGGGAAAGCUGGAGAUUGUUAUAGUUUAUCGAAUUGUCCACAAGGUCGAUUUAGUAUUAAUCUCAGUGGGACUUCAUUGAAACUUGCCCCGGAAGUUACCUGGAUCAGCCUGGACACGACAGCCUACGUCAGCGUCGAGAAAAUCAACGACCAGAGGGUUUUCGGGAAAUGCGGAGGAUAUUGCGGAUUCUGCAUACCGAAGACUGGCUUGAAACUUGACGUGCUACCCCCUUAAACGAAAGAAAAAUGAAAGCCGAGUGAAUCCAGGUGUACCAAAGCCGUCCUCGCCAGCUUUGCCGAAGCUCGAAAAGUCUGCCACUCGUUUAAGCAGGAAUCCAAGUGACGAAUUUCUAAUGACUAAUUACUCGGGAGAGUAGACGGAAAGGGAAGAAGAGAUCAGCCGAGAAUUCUGCGGUCGAAUUCCUAACAGCUGACUCGGCGACUUUUGAAGACGAUGCUUCAUUCUGGUCGUAAAAGCGAAAAUGCGCAUUGGAGGACCGUGCAAAACGAAUCAUACGUGUAUUGCAAGCUGGAUUGAUAGUAUUACUAUAUGGACAGCAACCCAUAAUGUCGGAUCUCCAAGAGCUGAUCAACGACUUUAGAAGAUGGUCAUGGAACGGAAAAUGCACAUUGGAGGCCCUUGCAAAAUGAACCGAGGAAAAAAUCCCUCGUGCAUUGUACAAUGGCGACAUGAAUGCCUCCCCUGCAGAUACGACAUCGCCUGUGCAGGAUGGAUGGGCAUUGAUGUCUCCCAGUGUACCCUGGACCAAUAGUAUUACUAUACGGACAGGAAGAUGGUCGUGGAACCGAAAAUGCACAUUGGAGGCCCUUGAAAAAUGAAUCGAGGAAAAAAUCCCUCUUGCAUUGUACAAUGGCGACAUGAAUGCCUCCCCUGCAGAUACGGCAUCGCCUGUGCAGGAUGGGUGGGCAUUGAUGUCUUCCAGUGCACCCUGGACCAAUGGUAUUACUAUACGGACAGGAAACUAUAAUGCGACAACUAGAAGCAAUACAAAGCCGAUUUUUCAAACGGGGGAAGCUCAACACAUACGAAAGAAAUCCGUGAAGAUUUAAUCGGGUAAUUCUUUCACUUAUCUUACUUGCAGCAGAUAAAUGUCGAUGAUAUAUAAAUAGGGAAAAAAGUCCAACUGGACACUCUGAAUUAGUCGAGGGAGAGAUCGAUAUUGACUUUGGAGUCGAUU